Molecule: long non-coding RNA, 1095 nt
Organism: Brienomyrus brachyistius
Lineage: Eukaryota; Metazoa; Chordata; Actinopteri; Osteoglossiformes; Mormyridae
Exons: 3
Source: RefSeq, a predicted model, not a curated record
UUCAGAGCUCCGUAGUAAAGUAGCUUGAAAUCAAAAUAAACCUUAACAGGAAACUUCGCCCUGAUAAAUUCAUCUACCAUGAUUCAGAGACUCUUCCGUUUGAUAAAGGUCUUGUCACAUUGUCGGAGACAAAGAACUCAGGGGAAGGCAUUUUUCGAACAAAAAAGGUUUUUUUUUUGAAGAACUAACCAAAGAAGGCAUAUGAAACAAACCAGACCUCAAGGAGACAAAAGAUGAGCACUACAACGGGGAAGCCCACGAACUAGCAAGAGGAGCAAUGUUAAUGACAAGACUGAGGAACACAAGACUGGGAAGCACUUUUAUACACGACUAAUGAGGAAGCAAACAAGUGGCAGCUGAAGUAAAUAACACAUGGGCAGGAACGGGAGAAACUGCAACAAGGGACAUAAAAAAUUAUGCAAAGCUGCUGUGAACAAUUCUGAUUCACAGGCUGUGACACAUUUCUUUACCGUCCCCCCUAAGCAUUCAUUCUGAUGUGUCCUUCUUCUCAGCCACUUGUGAUCUGAGGUUUCAGACUGAAUCAAGAAAUCGCAAAAGCUGCUAUGACCAGGACGCCUCUUCGUGUUGCAGUAGCUCUGUCCUGCCUGAGAACGGCCGCCUACGUGAUCCUACGUGAUUACUGCUCCACGCUGCCCCACGGCUCCACGCUGGAUUACCAGCAAUACAGAAUAAAGAUUUUUUUUGAAGGUUUUUUUUUUGCAUUAAAUACUGGAAACUAUUUGAAAAGUGCAAAACACACUUUUAUCUUGUCAGUCUUCCAUUUUAAUAUUUCUAAAACGUUAACUGUGUAGCUUGCAGUGUAGGCAAAUUUAUAUUGGUCUGUGUGUAUACUUUAUUGAAUAAAAAUGUCCAUAAAAGUGUAUUAACUUAGUAUUUAAAAAUAUUUUUAAGUUAAUUUGGAUUAAGUUUUAAUUCUAUAACUUUAUAUGAAAACUUGAAAAUACAUAUUUUUAAAUCCAGGAAUAAGGUGAUUGAAAUAUUUUAUGAACAACUUAAUUUACAAAAGAUUCCAUUUUGUGUGACAUCACAAAAUUGUUUUCCGCAAAAGGAAUAAAUUGCUGUUCUUUCCGCCUA